UACGUAGGGUGCAAGCGUUGUCCGGAUUUAUUGGGCGUAAAGAGCUCGUAGGCGGUCUGUCGCGUCGGAUGUGAAAACCCAGGGCUCAACCCUGGGCCUGCAUUCGAUACGGGCAGACUAGAGUGUGGCAGGGGAGACUGGAAUUCCUGGUGUAGCGGUGAAAUGCGCAGAUAUCAGGAGGAACGCCCGUGGCUAAGGCGGCUCUCUAGUACGGUACUGACGCUGAGACGCGAAAGCGUGGGGAGCGAACAGG
RNAcentral lists this ribosomal RNA (253 nucleotides) under uncultured bacterium. RNAcentral's name for it is "partial 16S ribosomal RNA". It matches the Rfam family "Bacterial small subunit ribosomal RNA", at positions 524 to 776 of the family's 1533-position model. The record is from RNAcentral.